This 218-nucleotide ribosomal RNA is filed under the name Clostridioides difficile. RNAcentral describes it as "partial 23S ribosomal RNA". It matches the Rfam family "Bacterial large subunit ribosomal RNA", at positions 578 to 795 of the family's 2925-position model. Lineage: Bacteria; Bacillati; Bacillota; Clostridia; Peptostreptococcales; Peptostreptococcaceae. The record is from RNAcentral.
AGCACAUUUCUUGUGUGACCGCGUACUUUUUGUAGAACGGGCCAACGAGUUACGUUAAGUAGCAAGGUUAAGCACUUAAGGUGCGGAGCCAUAGCGAAAGCGAGUUUUAACUGAGCGUUCAGUUACUGGACGUAGACCCGAAACCGGGCGACCUACCCAUGAGCAGGAUGAAGCGAAAGUAAAAUUUCGUGGAGGUCCGAACCCACGAGCGUUGAAAA